This 388-nucleotide ribosomal RNA is filed under the name uncultured bacterium. Its description in RNAcentral is "bacterial SSU rRNA". It matches the Rfam family "Bacterial small subunit ribosomal RNA", at positions 29 to 419 of the family's 1533-position model. The record is from RNAcentral.
AUUGAACGCUGGCGGCAUGCCUUACACAUGCAAGUCGAACGGCAGCACGGGAGCAAUCCUGGUGGCGAGUGGCGAACGGGUGAGUAAUACAUCGGAACGUGUCCAGUAGUGGGGGAUAGCCGGCGAAAGCCGGAUUAAUACCGCAUACGACCUACGGGUGAAAGCGGGGAGUCGCAAGACCUUGCGCUAUCGGAGCGGCCGAUGUCAGAUUAGCUAGUUGGUGGGGAAAAGACCUACCAAGGCGACGAUCUGUAGCUGGUCUGAGAGGACGACCAGCCACACUGGGACUGAGACACGGCCCAGACUCCUACGGGAGGCAGCAGUGGGGAAUUUUGGACAAUGGGCGCAAGCCUGAUCCAGCCAUGCCGCGUGCGGGAAGAAGGCCUUC